GUAGGGGUGCGAGCGUUAUCCGGAAUCAUUGGGCGUAAAGAGCUCGUAGGCGGUUCAGCAAGUCGGCUGUGAAAUUUCCGAGGGCUCAACCUCGGAACUGCAGUCGAUACUGUUGUGACUCGAGUCCGGUAGAGGAGAAUGGAAUUCCCGGUGUAGCGGUGAAAUGCGCAGAUAUCGGGAGGAACACCAGUAGCGAAGGCGGUUCUCUGGGCCGGCACUGACGCUGAGGAGCGAAAGCGUGGGUAGCAAACAGGAUUAGAUACCCUGGUAGUCCACGCCGUAAACGUUGGAUACUAGGUGUGGGGUUCCGACCAACGGUCCCCGUGCCGAAGCUAACGCAUUAAGUAUCCCGCCUGGGGAGUACGGCCGCAAAGGCUAA
Molecule: ribosomal RNA, 379 nt
Filed under: uncultured organism
Description: partial 16S ribosomal RNA
Rfam family: Bacterial small subunit ribosomal RNA
Source: RNAcentral